UGGGGAAUAUUGGACAAUGGACCGAGAGUCUGAUCCAGCAAUUCUGUGUGCACGAUGAAGUUUUUCGGAAUGUAAAGUGCUUUCAGUUGGGAAGAAAAAAACGACGGUACCAACAGAAGAAGUGACGGCUAAAUACGUGCCAGCAGCCGCGGUAAUACGUAUGUCACGAGCGUUAUCCGGAUUUAUUGGGCGUAAAGCGCGUCUAGGUGGUUAUAUAAGUCUGAUGUGAAAAUGCAGGGCUCAACUCUGUAUUGCGUUGGAAACUGUAUAACUAGAGUACUGGAGAGGUAAGCGGAACUACAAGUGUAGAGGUGAAAUUCGUAGAUAUUUGUAGGAAUGCCGAUGGGGAAGCCAGCUUACUGGACAGAUACUGACGCUGAAGCGCGAAAGCGUGGGUAGCAAACAGGAUUAGAUACCCUGGUAGUCCACGCCGUAAACGAUGAUUACUAGGUGUUGGGGGUCGAACCUCAGCGCCCAAGCAAACGCGAUAAGUAAUCCGCCUGGGGAGUACGUACGCAAGUAUG
Molecule: ribosomal RNA, 524 nt
Filed under: uncultured bacterium
Lineage: Bacteria
Description: bacterial SSU rRNA
Rfam family: Bacterial small subunit ribosomal RNA
Source: RNAcentral